CCUACGGGAGGCAGCAGUGAGGAAUAUUGGUCAAUGGACGAGAGUCUGAACCAGCCAAGUAGCGUGAAGGAUGACUGCCCUAUGGGUUGUAAACUUCUUUUAUAAAGGAAUAAAACGAGGCACGUGUGCCUUUUUGCAUGUACUUUAUGAAUAAGGAUCGGCUAACUCCGUGCCAGCAGCCGCGGUAAUACGGAGGAUCCGAGCGUUAUCCGGAUUUAUUGGGUUUAAAGGGAGCGUAGAUGGGUUGUUAAGUCAGUUGUGAAAGUUUGCGGCUCAAACGUAAAAUUGCAAUUGAUACUGGCAGUCGUGAGUACAGUUGAGGUAGGCGGAAUGCGUGGUGUAGCGGUGAAAUGCUUAGAUAUCACGAAGAACCCCGAUUGCGAAGGCAGCUUACUAAACUGUGACUGACAUUGAUGCUCGAAAGUGUGGGUAUCAAACAGGAUUAGAUACCCGUGUAGUC
Molecule: ribosomal RNA, 460 nt
Filed under: uncultured bacterium
Lineage: Bacteria
Description: partial 16S ribosomal RNA
Rfam family: Bacterial small subunit ribosomal RNA
Source: RNAcentral